GCGGAUAUAGUUUAUUGGUAGAACACUAGCUUCCCAAGCUGGAUGGGCGGGUUCGAUUCCCGUUAUCCGCU
This 71-nucleotide transfer RNA is filed under the name Lachnospiraceae bacterium. RNAcentral describes it as "tRNA-Gly". It matches the Rfam family "tRNA". Rfam says of the family: Transfer RNA (tRNA) molecules are approximately 80 nucleotides in length. Their secondary structure includes four short double-helical elements and three loops (D, anti-codon, and T loops). Lineage: Bacteria; Bacillati; Bacillota; Clostridia; Lachnospirales; Lachnospiraceae. The record is from RNAcentral.